Molecule: ribosomal RNA, 253 nt
Filed under: uncultured bacterium
Lineage: Bacteria
Description: partial 16S ribosomal RNA
Rfam family: Bacterial small subunit ribosomal RNA
Source: RNAcentral
UACGGGGGGAGCAAGCGUUGUUCGGAUUUACUGGGCGUAAAGCGCACGUAGGCGGAUUUGUAAGUCAGGGGUGAAAUCCCGGGGCUCAACCUCGGAACUGCCUUUGAUACUGCAAAUCUCGAGUCCGGAAGAGGUGAGUGGAAUUCCUAGUGUAGAGGUGAAAUUCGUAGAUAUUAAGAAGAACACCAGUGGCGAAGGCGGCUCACUGGUCCGGUACUGACGCUGAGGUGCGAAAGCGUGGGGAGCAAACAGG